CGCGCACACAGUGAGCGCGCGCGACGCUGUUUUACAACCACCACCACCCCGCCAACCUCGCAAUCCGGGCCCGGCCGCGGUUGCCAUGGAAACGGCGGGAAGCAACGCACCUCAUCCCGGCCAGGUGAGCCGAAGCUGCGCAGCUUUUUGCCUUGUGACAUGCAGAGGUCUGUGCAAUGAAGAGAGGCCAGCCACAAAAAACAUCCCUUGGGAAUCCACAGAUGUCUCCGUCCCGUGCUCGGAGUCCAAAGUCUCCUGCAAGCGCCCGUAGCAGGUCAUCGUCUCCGCUGAACAGAGAAGGGAUCCACCAGCCCACUGGGCGAAGCUAUCAAGGAGAGGUAGAUCAAGAAAGCGAUACAGGGCGGUGGUUCUCAACCUUUUUAAUGCCGCGACCCCCAACCGGUUGUAAGUCGAGG
Crotalus tigris (Tiger rattlesnake) is the source of this 416-nucleotide long non-coding RNA. RefSeq lists it as uncharacterized. The record is from RefSeq and is a predicted model, not a curated record. Lineage: Eukaryota; Metazoa; Chordata; Lepidosauria; Squamata; Viperidae. The transcript is spliced from 3 exons.